GAUGAACGCUGGCGGCGUGCCUAAUACAUGCAAGUCGAGCGAACAGACGAGGAGCUUUCUCCUCUGACGUUAGCGGCGGAAGGGUGAGUAACACGUGGAUAACCUACCUAUAAGACUGGGAUAACUUCGGGAAACCGGAGCUAAUACCGGAUAAUAUAUUGAACCGCAGGGUUCAAUAGUGAAAGACGGUUUUGCUGUCACUUAUAGAUGGAUCCGCGCCGCAUUAGCUAGUUGGUAAGGUAACGGCUUACCAAGGCAACGAUGCGUAGCCGACCUGAGAGGGUGAUCGGCCACACUGGAACUGAGACACGGUCCAGACUCCUACGGGAGGCAGCAGUAGGGAAUCUUCCGCAAUGGGCGAAAGCCUGAUGGAGCAACGCCGCGUGAGUGAUGAAGGUCUUCGGAUCGUAAAACUCUGUUAUUAGGGACGAACAAAUGUGUAAGUAACUAUGCACGUCUUGACGGUACCGAAUCAGAAAGCCACGGCUAACUACGUG
Molecule: ribosomal RNA, 497 nt
Filed under: uncultured bacterium
Lineage: Bacteria
Description: partial 16S ribosomal RNA
Rfam family: Bacterial small subunit ribosomal RNA
Source: RNAcentral